RNAcentral lists this ribosomal RNA (484 nucleotides) under uncultured bacterium. RNAcentral describes it as "partial 16S ribosomal RNA". It matches the Rfam family "Bacterial small subunit ribosomal RNA", at positions 30 to 507 of the family's 1533-position model. The record is from RNAcentral.
AUUGAACGCUGGCGGCAGGCCUAACACAUGCAAGUCGAGCGGAUGAAGGGAGCUUGCUCCUAGAUUCAGCGGCGGACGGGUGAGUAAUGCCUAGGAAUCUGCCUGGUAGUGGGGGAUAACGUCCGGAAACGGGCGCUAAUACCGCAUACGUCCUGAGGGAGAAAGUGGGGGAUCUUCGGACCUCACGCUAUCAGAUGAGCCUAGGUCGGAUUAGCUAGUUGGUGGGGUAAAGGCCUACCAAGGCGACGAUCCGUAACUGGUCUGAGAGGAUGAUCAGUCACACUGGAACUGAGACACGGUCCAGACUUCUACGGGAGGCAGCAGUGGGGAAUAUUGGACAAUGGGCGAAAGCCUGAUCCAGCCAUGCCGCGUGUGUGAAGAAGGUCUUCGGAUUGUAAAGCACUUUAAGUUGGGAGGAAGGGCAGUAAGUUAAUACCUUGCUGUUUUGACGUUACCAACAGAAUAAGCACCGGCUAACUUCGUG